GCCUUCGUGGUGUAGUGGUCAAGACGCUCGGCACGUAUUCGAGAGGUCCGCGGUUCGAGUCCCGUCGAGGGCA
This is a non-coding RNA of Stegodyphus mimosarum, 73 nucleotides long. The record is from Rfam. Lineage: Eukaryota; Metazoa; Arthropoda; Arachnida; Araneae; Eresidae.